GACGAACGCUGGCGGCGUGCUUAACACAUGCAAGUCGAACGGAAAGGCCCCUUCCGGGGUACACUAAUGGCAAACGGGUGAGUAACACGUGAGCAACCUGCCCUUGACUCUGGAAUAGCAAUUGGAAACAGCUGCUAAUACCGGAUAUGACACGAUCACUCAUGUGGUGGUGUGGAAAGUUUUUCAGUCAAGGAUGGGCUCGCGGCCUAUCAUCUACUUGGUGAGGUAAUGGCUCACCAAGGCUUCCACAGGUAGCCGGCCUGACAGGGCCAACGGCCACACUGGAACUGACAUACUGCCCAUACUCCUACGGGAGGAAUCAUUGGGGAAUAUUGCACAAUGGGCCGAAGCCUGAUGCAGCAACGCCGCGUGAGGGAUGACGGCCUUCUGAUUGUAGACCGCUUACAGUUCCGAUCAAUCGAAAGUGACGAUAAGAACAGAAGAAGGAUCGGCCAAUUACGUGCCAACAUCCGCGGAGAUACAUAGGGUCCUAGCGUUGUCCAGAAUUAUUGAGCGUAAAGGGCUUGUAGGCAGUCUGACUCAUCGGAAGUGAAGACUCACGACUUAACUCUGAGCGUGCUAUUGAUACGGGCACACUACAGCGAUGCAGGGGAGAACGGAAUUCCUGAUGUAGCGUGGGGAUGAGCAAAUAUCAAGACGAACUCCGGUGGGCGAAAGCCGCUCACAUGUCAUUACCUGACGCUGAGAAGCGAAAGCGUGGGGAGCAAACCAGGCUUAGAUACCCCGGUAGUCCACGCNGUAAACGGUGGUCACUAGGUGUGGGGGACAUUCCACGUUCUCCGUGCCGAAGAUAACGCAUUAAGUUCCCCGCGUGGAGAGUACGGCCGCAAGGCUAAAACUCAAAGGAAUUGACGGAGGCCCGCACAAGCGGCGAGAGCAUGCGGAUUAAUUAGAUGCAACGAGAGAGAACCUUACCUGGGUGUGACAUCCUUUGACAACUCUAGAGAUAGAGCUUUCCCCUUCGGGGGACAAACUGACAGGUGGUGCAUGGUUGUCGUCAGCUCCUGUCGUGAGAUGUUGGGUUAACUCCCGCAACGAGCGCCACCCUUAAUCUUAGUUGCCAGCGGGUCAUGCCGGGGAAUCAUAGGAGACUGCCGGGGUCAACUCGGAGGAAGGUGGGGAAGACGUCAAAUCCUCGUGCCCCUUAUGAUUUGGGCUACACACGUGCUACAAUGGGUGGUACAAAGGGGUGCGAUACCGCAAGGUUGAGCGAAUCCCAAAAAGCCAGUUUCAGUUUGGAUUGGGGUUUGCAACUUGACCCCAAGAAGUCGGAGUCGGUAGUAAUUGCAGAUCAGCCACGCUGCGGUGAAUACGUUCCCGGGCCU
This 1346-nucleotide ribosomal RNA is filed under the name uncultured bacterium. RNAcentral describes it as "bacterial SSU rRNA". It matches the Rfam family "Bacterial small subunit ribosomal RNA", at positions 28 to 1381 of the family's 1533-position model. The record is from RNAcentral.